This 520-nucleotide ribosomal RNA is filed under the name uncultured Glomus. RNAcentral's name for it is "SSU rRNA". It matches the Rfam family "Eukaryotic small subunit ribosomal RNA", at positions 569 to 1090 of the family's 1831-position model. Lineage: Eukaryota; Fungi; Glomeromycota; Glomeromycetes; Glomerales; Glomeraceae. The record is from RNAcentral.
AGCAGCCGCGGUAAUUCCAGCUCCAAUAGCGUAUAUUAAAGUUGUUGCAGUUAAAAAGCUCGUAGUUGAAUUUCGGGAUCAAUUUGCUGGUCGUGCCUCCGGUACGUACUGGUAUUAUUGGUUUCUCCCUUCUGACUAACCAUGAUGUCAUUCAUUUGGUGUUGUGGGGAAUCAGGACUGUUACUUUGAAAAAAUUAGAGUGUUUAAAGCAGGCAUAAGCUUGAAUACAUUAGCAUGGAAUAAUGAAAUAGGACGUUUGAUCCUAUUUUGUUGGUUUCUAGGAUCGACGUAAUGAUUAAUAGGGAUAGUUGGGGGCAUUAGUAUUCAAUUGUCAGAGGUGAAAUUCUUGGAUUUAUUGAAGACUAACUACUGCGAAAGCAUUUGCCAAGGAUGUUUUCAUUAAUCAAGAACGAAAGUUAGGGGAUCGAAGACGGUCAGAUACCGUCGUAGUCUUAACCAUAAACUAUGCCGACUAGGGAUCGGAUGAUGUUAAUUUUUUAAUGACUCAUUCGGCGCCUUA